Molecule: ribosomal RNA, 301 nt
Filed under: uncultured bacterium
Lineage: Bacteria
Description: partial 16S ribosomal RNA
Rfam family: Bacterial small subunit ribosomal RNA
Source: RNAcentral
CAGUAGCCGCGGGAAUACGGAGGGUGCAAGCGUUAAUCGGAAUUACUGGGCGUAAAGCGCGCGUAGGUGGUUUGUUAAGUUGGAGGUGAAAUCCCCGGGCUCAACCUGGGAAUGGCAGUGGAUACUGGCAAGCUAGAGUGUGUCAGAGGAUGGUGGAAUUCCCGGUGUAGCGGUGAAAUGCGUAGAGAUCGGGAGGAACAUCAGUGGCGAAGGCGGCCAUCUGGGACAACACUGACGCUGAGGCACGAAAGCGUGGGGAGCAAACAGGAUUAGAUACCCCAGUAGUCCCUGUCUCUUAUAA